AGGAGAAGCCCGGAGUAUGGGUACUGAGACAAGGACCCAGGCCCUAUGGGGCGCAGCAGGCGAGAAAACUUUGCAAUGCGCGAAAGCUCGACAAGGUUAAUCUGAGUGGUUCCUGCUAAAGGAACCUUUUGUUAGUCGUAGAACCACUGAUGAAUAAGGGGUGGGCAAGUUCUGGUGUCAGCCGCCGCGGUAA
This 193-nucleotide ribosomal RNA is filed under the name uncultured archaeon. Its description in RNAcentral is "partial 16S ribosomal RNA". It matches the Rfam family "Archaeal small subunit ribosomal RNA", at positions 281 to 473 of the family's 1478-position model. The record is from RNAcentral.